UGGAAGUAAAAGUCGUAACAAGGUUUCCGUAGGUGAACCUGCGGAAGGAUCAUUACUGAUUUGCUUAAUUGCACCACAUGUGUUUUUUAUUGAACAAAUUUCUUUGGUGGCGGGAGCAAUCCUACCGCCAGAGGUUAUAACUAAACCAAACUUUUUAUUUACAGUCAAACUUGAUUUAUUAUUACAAUAGUCAAAACUUUCAACAACGGAUCUCUUGGUUCUCGCAUCGAUGAAGAACGCAGCGAAAUGCGAUACGUAAUAUGAAUUGCAGAUAUUCGUGAAUCAUCGAAUCUUUGAACGCACAUUGCGCCCUUUGGUAUUCCAAAGGGCAUGCCUGUUUGAGCGUCAUUUCUCCCUCAAACCCCCGGGUUUGGUGUUGAGCAAUACGCUAGGUUUGUUUGAAAGAAUUUAACGUGGAAACUUAUUUUAAGCGACUUAGGUUUAUCCAAAAACGCUUAUUUUGCUAGUGGCCACCACAAUUUAUUUCAUAACUUUGACCUCAAAUCAGGUAGGACUACCCGCUGAACUUAAGCAUAUCAAUAAGCGGAGGAA
Molecule: unclassified non-coding RNA, 552 nt
Filed under: Candida tropicalis
Lineage: Eukaryota; Fungi; Ascomycota; Pichiomycetes; Serinales; Debaryomycetaceae
Description: sequence contains 18S rRNA gene, ITS1, 5.8S rRNA gene, ITS2, 28S rRNA gene
Rfam family: 5.8S ribosomal RNA (bases 195-348)
Source: RNAcentral